AAACCAACAGGGAUUACCUCAGUAACGGCGAGUGAAGCGGUAAAAGCUCAAAUUUGAAACCCUCGGGAUUGUAAUUUGAAGAUUUGGCAUUGGGAAAAGCUAACCCAAGUUGCUUGGAAUAGUACGUCGUAGAGGGUGAGAACCCCGUGUGGCUAACCGUUUCCCAUGUAUUGCCUUAUCAAAGAGUCGAGUUGUUUGGGAAUGCAGCUCUAAGUGGGUGGUAAACUCCAUCUAAAGCUAAAUAUUGGCGAGAGACCGAUAGCGAACAAGUACUGUGAAGGAAAGAUGAAAAGAACUUUGAAAAGAGAGUGAAAUAGUAUGUGAAAUUGUUGAUAGGGAAGGGAAUGAGUGUAGCGUGGGUGAGGUUUCAAUUAUCUCUCGAGGUGAUGUACUGCCAAACCCGAGUCAAGGAGUGGGAAAAAGGGGUUAUAAAUGCAAACUCUCGAGUCUGCACCUAACCCCCGCCCUCCACUCCUCGACAUAAUACACCCAUUCCACCCGUC
Molecule: ribosomal RNA, 503 nt
Filed under: Yarrowia alimentaria
Lineage: Eukaryota; Fungi; Ascomycota; Dipodascomycetes; Dipodascales
Description: partial 26S ribosomal RNA
Rfam family: Eukaryotic large subunit ribosomal RNA
Source: RNAcentral